UGACGAAAGCUGACGCUUGACGCCGCGUGGGGGAUGAAGGUCUUCGGAUUGUAAACCCCUUUCGGGAGGGAAGAUGGAGUGGGUAACCACUUGGACGGUACCUCCAGAAGCAGCCACGGCUAACUUCGUGCCAGCAGCCGCGGUAAUACGAAGGUGGCAAGCGUUGUUCGGAUUCACUGGGCGUACAGGGAGCGUAGGCGGUUGGGUAAGCCCUCCGUGAAAUCUCCGGGCCUAACCCGGAAAGUGCAGAGGGGACUGCUCAGCUAGAGGAUGGGAGAGGAGCGCGGAAUUCCCGGUGUAGCGGUGAACUGCGUAGAGAUCGGGAGGAAGGCCGGUGGCGAAGGCCGGAGCUCUGGAACAUUACUGUACGCUGAGGCUCGAACAGCGUGGGGAGCAAACAGGAUUAGAUACCCUUGGUAAUCCAAGCCAUUAAAACUAUGGAUACUAAGGU
This 451-nucleotide ribosomal RNA is filed under the name uncultured bacterium. RNAcentral's name for it is "bacterial SSU rRNA". It matches the Rfam family "Bacterial small subunit ribosomal RNA", at positions 373 to 822 of the family's 1533-position model. The record is from RNAcentral.